Molecule: ribosomal RNA, 279 nt
Filed under: uncultured bacterium
Lineage: Bacteria
Description: partial small subunit ribosomal RNA
Rfam family: Bacterial small subunit ribosomal RNA
Source: RNAcentral
AGGACGAACGCUGGCGGCGUGCUUAACACAUGCAAGUCGAGCGGAAAGGCCCUUCGGGGUACUCGAGCGGCGAACGGGUGAGUAACACGUGAGCAACCUGCCCCUGGCUCUGGGAUAGCCUCCGGAAACGGGGAUUAAUACCGGACAUUCACUUCCUUCCGCAUGGUUGGUGGUGGAAAGUUUUUCGGCCGGGGAGGGGCUCGCGGUCUAUCAGCUUGUUGGCGGGGUAACGGCCCACCAAGGCGACGACGGAUAGCCGGCCUGAGCGGGCGAGCGACG